GGCGGCUGCUCCUCUGGGCGUAGAGCGGGGGGACGGAGCCGUUUCCUGAGGAGAGGCGCCGGACGGCGGUGACCCCAGCAGCAGCAGCCCAGCACUCAGCCACCGAGCCGUACGCCGGCCACUUCAGACGCCGGCACCGCCCAGCGCCACCUUCUCAGAGAGAGGGAGUGAGGGGGCGGGGAGCGUCACGAAAGGGAGCUCACAGCCAACCGGCGCCGGGCGAGUGAUGAAACUCCGCUCCCCUCCGCCGGUGACGACCAAUAGCGUCUCCGGGAGGAGCGGGGGCGGAGCUCUUCCCGCGAUGUGUCGCGGCGGAGGAACCGCCCUUCCCGGCGGCCUCACCUUGUCGCAGUGCAGCGGCAGCGCCCUCUCCAGCCCCGCGCGCAGCGUCCGGUCGCCUGGCUACGCGUCCCCCAGGCCUGGGGCGACACCGCCUCUCGUCAUCAACGCUGUCUCGCUUCCGCCCGUGCCGCAGCGCCGCGACGGGCUCAGCCGGGGCAGAACGGGGCGACGAAGCGGAAGGCGAGAGCUUCCCAGGGAUGAAGCUCUCUAGUGAGGACGCAGCGCACAAAACAGAGCAGAACCAGUGUCGGGAGAUAAUGAGCCAAUGGUACAGCAAGAAGGAAGCUAGGCAGCUCCUUUCAAGUCACCCUUGGAGAAACUGCUGCUGGGCCUAACUGAAAAUUCUAACUGACUAUACAGCACACACAACGGUUUAGGGCUCCCUGGUUUCCCUAACAGAAAUGGGAUUGAAUCUAAAACUGUUAACAGUUUUUGUUUGUUUGUUUGUUUUUUAAGAUUUACUUAAUGAACUUCUAGCCCUUUGCAUGCCUGUAAGUUUCAGCCAGUUUACCUAUGCCCUUUGUAAUAGGUCUCUGCAAGUACUAGGUUGGCACCUGAAUUCUAUCAUGUAGCUGUCCAUCUUCUCCUGUUUUCCAUAUUGAAGCAAUCUGCUAUACUAUCUACGUAUACAAUAGGGCACAACUU
This 987-nucleotide long non-coding RNA is filed under the name Gallus gallus (chicken). RNAcentral describes it as "long non-coding RNA NONGGAT005712". The record is from RNAcentral. Lineage: Eukaryota; Metazoa; Chordata; Aves; Galliformes; Phasianidae.